RNAcentral lists this ribosomal RNA (497 nucleotides) under uncultured bacterium. RNAcentral's name for it is "partial 16S ribosomal RNA". It matches the Rfam family "Bacterial small subunit ribosomal RNA", at positions 28 to 507 of the family's 1533-position model. The record is from RNAcentral.
GAUGAACGCUGGCGGCGUGCCUAAUACAUGCAAGUCGAGCGAACAGACGAGUACCUUGCUCCACGGACGUUAGCGGCGGAAGGGUGAGGAACACGUGGAUAACCCAACUAUAGGACUGGGAUAAGUUACGGAAACCGGUGCUAGUACUGGACAAUUGAUUCAACCGCAUGGUUCGAUAGUGAAAGCGGGUUUUGCUGGAACUGAGAGCUAGAUCCGCGCCGUUUUAGCUAGGUGGUAACGUAACGGCUUACCAAAGCAACGAUGGGUGGCCGACCUGAGAGGGUGAUAGGCCACUCAGGAGCUGAGCCACGGUCCUGACUCCUACGGGAGGCCGCAGUAGCGACUCUUGCGCGCUGGGCGAAAGCUUGCCGGAGCAGCGCCACGUGGGUGAUGAAGGUCUUCGGACCGUAUGACUGUGUUAUUAGUGAAGACCGCAUGUAUAAGUAACUAUGCACGUCUUGACGGUACCUAAAGAGAAAGCCACGGCUAACUACGUG